AAGACCAAAGCAAAGGUUGGAGCUCCUCGUCCUGGAGUUUAAAAAGAAGAGGACAACGAAGAGGAGAGAGGAGAGGGGGGUGGAAAGCGGAGGAGAAAAGGAUCCCUGAGGCUCGGGCCGGGCUCGGCUACCUGAAGGAGCUUUUGUCUGACCCAGGCGCGCCGGGAGCGCAUUCUUUCACAUGACGAACCGCAGGGGAAGACAUUCAUUCACUCCCUUUUUUUUGGUGACGUAGCCAGGGCAUUCAUGUGUUUUUAACCUUGAAUAAUUUUUGUCUCUAAGCGCCAAACAAGUUUUAUCCUGUCCACAGGUCAGUUUUGUUACAGAGGCCAAUUAGCAGUGCUACCUUCGCCUGCGGCAAAAAGCCAAGUAAUGGUGGGGCAAGCCCUCCGGAGAGGUGAUGAAUAACUCCGGAGAGCUGUAAUUUGAAAGGGGGGCCUUUGAAGCAUUUACCUUACAUGGGACGCUAUUGUCACUGCAGGGUGUUUGAUCUUAAAAUAAUUUACUUAAUGAUCUCACCAUGGGAGCAAUUGGCAGAGCAAGAUUAGGCUGUAAGGCCUAAUGGACAUGGGAAAAGUUAAAAUUGCUCAGAGAAAGAACCUCCCAGUCUACCAGGGACCUGGGUGUCAAGAAGCACUUGACCGCUACAGACAGCAGAUGCGGAACCUUCUCUCGAGCCCAUACAGCACGGAGGCGACUGCCCCACCAGUUCCAGCGUUCCUGCUAUAGGAUGAGUCAGAAGAGAGGGGUGAAAAAGAACAAGGGGCAACAUCUGUACUGGCCCGUGCAAGGGGCAUUUUUCUCUUAUUCUAAGUUCAGCUGCAGGAGAGGAGAGGAGCUGGGGUAAGUGAGACAGUUUUGUUUCUCGGGGCUCUGCUUUCUGACCACCUUAGACCAUGCCCCUCUGGAGCUGUGCCCAGUCCUUUUUCCCUAUCCCACACUGGUUCUUGCCAUAGAUCCUUGUGUCCUAACCCCCAGCCCUUGGUUCUCUGCUUCACACUUCUACGUAAU
Non-coding RNA from Sus scrofa (pig), 1011 nucleotides. The record is from RefSeq and is a predicted model, not a curated record. NCBI's taxonomy places the organism in Eukaryota, Metazoa, Chordata, Mammalia, Artiodactyla, Suidae.